AACCAGCAGAUUGAGAUUUUUGUAACCAAUCAUUUGAGCAUCUUGGUGGAGUCCCAAUAGCACCACAAUAAUCUCCAUCACACAACACAUCUAUCUAUCUAUCCACAUAUAAAUUUCAUAAUUUAUUAUUUAAUUAAUUUCCAUUAUUCAAGAGAGAGAAGCUAAAAUGAAGCAAACCCAUUCUUUGGUUUUGCAACAUUUUGCAGAAAUUUAAACAUCUCUCAUCACUAGCAGUAAUUAAUAAGAAACUAAUUGAUAUGACAAGCUCUCCUAUAAUUAUUGAAGUCAAGAAAUUAAUACAAAUAUAUGAAAAUUUUCAACUGUGAAUAAAACCACAAGAUAGUCGCAUGAGUAGUAUUGCUGCCUCUUCCACAUCUUGUGGAAACACUCGUUGAAGAGCAGGAUUCUUGCUCAAGCUUAAUGCAAGAUUCUUGAAGCUGCAAAUCUUCUUUUGGCCCUGUGGUGAAUCAGGAGGCUUCCAGAGUUUCUUGCCUUGUGCAGUAUGGCCUGUACGCGACUUCUUUUCCUUGUGCAACUUACUUUUUGUAGAUGAUGACGAUGAUGAUGAUGAU
Molecule: unclassified non-coding RNA, 572 nt
Filed under: Hevea brasiliensis (rubber tree)
Lineage: Eukaryota; Viridiplantae; Streptophyta; Magnoliopsida; Malpighiales; Euphorbiaceae
Source: RNAcentral